ACUACCCUAUCAUAUCACAAUGGUCCAAAUGCCAGCACUUACAGAUAAUGUCAUCACAGUGCCUAGAAACUCAAACUGUAAUAUACCGUAGCAUCUUCUUGGUGUUUCUUCACGUUUCUUUCCACAAAGCAAGGCUCCCUCUGCCUCGUGUUUCUAAGAGAGUUCACCCACUGAGGAGCCUGCCUUCCCUGUUGGACUCUGUCACUUGGGGAACAGUCAUAGAAGCACAUAGAAACCAAGGAAGAAACUUCCUGGAUAUCUGUCUCCCACUUGCCCAGGUAUAACAAACACUAAAGAGGGGAAAACCGAAGAGCUGCCAACUGGUCGACCUGGAAGGGUAGUUCUGCCCUGGAUUGGUGUCUUUCUUUUUCUUCCUUUUUUAAAAAAGAAAUCUAUUUCUUAAAUAAUAAUAAAUGCACAUGAUGUGUUAAAUAUGUACAUAUAUAUUUCAAAAAAUGGGCACAAGAUUGUCUUACGAGUCCUUCUGGCUAAUUUUUAGUUUGUAUUCAUAAGUGGUUUUUAAAAGCCUUUUUUAAAGUGUAAUUUGCAUGUUCUACUUUGAUUGUAUGUAAACAUAUUUUAGAACAAAAAUGUAUUUGUAUUUUAUUGAAUAUAGAGGCAAGAAAAAUUGUACAUUGUUUGAAAUGUUCUUUUGUAACAGUUUUUAUUCAUAAAAGCAUUUUUGUACAUUUGAAUGACCAUGGACUUGCUGUCAUUUGAGGCGUAGCGACAUCUGGCAUGCUUUACUGUCAUGCUCUCCCAUGGUCUUAGAUGUUGGGUUUUAAACAUUUUUUUUUUCUAAAAGAAAGUUCAGUCUCUUUCGCUACCAGAUCAGGUUAGCACAGUACAGAGCACUUAACUAUUAAAAAAAAAAGUUGAUCCUAUUCAUAUGUUAUUCAUUGUGUGAAAUUAAAGACAUUCAAUUCCGUCUAACA
RNAcentral lists this long non-coding RNA (935 nucleotides) under Rattus norvegicus (Norway rat). RNAcentral describes it as "long non-coding RNA NONRATT013952". Lineage: Eukaryota; Metazoa; Chordata; Mammalia; Rodentia; Muridae. The record is from RNAcentral.